CGUUCAUGGCCGCGUGCUUACCAUGCAAGUCGACGAUGAACCGCUUUCGGGCGGGGAUUAGUGGCGAACGGGUGAGUAACACGUGGGCAAUCUGCCCUGCACUCUGGGACAAGCCCUGGAAACGGGGUCUAAUACCGGAUAUGACUGUCCAUCGCAUGGUGGAUGGUGUAAAGCUCCGGCGGUGCAGGAUGAGCCCGCGGCCUAUCAGCUUGUUGGUGAGGUAGUGGCUCACCAAGGCGACGACGGGUAGCCGGCCUGAGAGGGCGACCGGCCACACUGGGACUGAGACACGGCCCAGACUCCUACGGGAGGCAGCAGUGGGGAAUAUUGCACAAUGGGCGAAAGCCUGAUGCAGCGACGCCGCGUGAGGGAUGACGGCCUUCGGGUUGUAAACCUCUUUCAGCAGGGAAGAAGCGAAAGUGACGGUACCUGCAGAAGAAGCGCCGGCUAACUACGUGCCAGCAGCCGCGGUAAUACGUAGGGCGCAAGCGUUGUCCGGAAUUAUUGGGCGUAAAGAGCUCGUAGGCGGCUUGUCACGUCGGUUGUGAAAGCCCGGGGCUUAACCCCGGGUCUGCAGUCGAUACGGGCAGGCUAGAGUUCGGUAGGGGAGAUCGGAAUUCCUGGUGUAGCGGUGAAAUGCGCAGAUAUCAGGAGGAACACCGGUGGCGAAGGCGGAUCUCUGGGCCGAUACUGACGCUGAGGAGCGAAAGCGUGGGGAGCGAACAGGAUUAGAUACCCUGGUAGUCCACGCCGUAAACGGUGGGCACUAGGUGUGGGCAACAUUCCCACGUUGUCCGUGCCGCAGCUAACGCAUUAAGUGCCCCGCCUGGGGGAGUACGGCCGCAAGGCUAAAAACUCAAAGGAUUUGACGGGGGCCCUCCCAAGCGGCUGAGCAUGUGGCUUAUUUCGACGCAACGCGAAAGAAA
Molecule: ribosomal RNA, 926 nt
Filed under: actinomycete CXB597
Lineage: Bacteria; Bacillati; Actinomycetota; Actinomycetes; Actinomycetales
Description: bacterial SSU rRNA
Rfam family: Bacterial small subunit ribosomal RNA
Source: RNAcentral